CUCGCUCAGCCUGAAGUAGCUCAGGUCUAAAUGUCUGGAGCUGAUGACAUGUUUGCAUCUAGCUGAUGAUCUCCUGACUUUCUUUGAUGUAGAAUUUGAGAAACAGAGCUGUUAUCACUUUCCUUCCUUCAGUUUUGUCUCCUAAAAUAUGCUUUACAUGAGAAAUGGCCCCUUCAAGAGCUAUUCAGUUGUUAGGUUUCAUUCCACAUGCCUCUUAUAUUUAAGAUAAAAUAUUUUCCUAUCCAGUAUAAAUAGAGAGAUAUGUACUUAUGAGAGAAGGUAUAUCCAAAACCUUUUGGUUGUCAUUGAAUGUAUCUUUACAGAAAGAAACAUGGGAAAUAUCCUUCUUUGGAUUUCAUAAUGAAGUUUACUUCCAUAAAAAGUUGCUUUAUUUUUGUGAGGUCUGAGACUUACCAGUGGAGGAGAAAAUGCUUCUGUAACAAAUUCCUUGAGAGUGAAGCUGCCAUGGUCCUUAGGAGUUGGAGAAAAAGAGGUAAGACAGUGAAGUCUUUAACUGCUCCAGAAGAAGAGGGUCUGGAAAGAAAAUGUCUCUGGCAAAAAAGUAUCAGGUGA
Molecule: long non-coding RNA, 573 nt
Filed under: Cyanistes caeruleus (blue tit)
Lineage: Eukaryota; Metazoa; Chordata; Aves; Passeriformes; Paridae
Description: lncRNA (ENSCCEG00000020351.1)
Source: RNAcentral